This 442-nucleotide long non-coding RNA is filed under the name Setaria viridis. RNAcentral's name for it is "long non-coding RNA (SVIR_LNC006027)". Lineage: Eukaryota; Viridiplantae; Streptophyta; Magnoliopsida; Poales; Poaceae. The record is from RNAcentral.
UUGGUUCCAAAUCAUAGGAGUGCAGUAAUGUUAAUAUAAUUCUUAGAGUAAGAACAAUGCUUAUGUUUCAAAUAGUAUUAAGGUGGAGGUUCAGAAAAAGGUAGUCUUUGUUAUUGCCCUGCCCACAAUAGUUCACAGUAAAAAGGUGACAUUAAGGUGGGCCCACUUCAUGGUUCAAAAAAGACCCAAUUCAUCUACCGCACCCCCUCAUCCCUAUCGUCUCAUCUUGCCGCUGGUCCUCUCUCCCGCUCGCAUCGCGUGCCCGCCGCCCCUCGGCAGAACGGCGGACGGGCGGAGAUCAGAUAGGAGAUCGUCGAUUCACUUAUGUGAUCAGGUGAUUCAAUUGCCAAUUUUCCAAUUCUCCAUACCAUUAAUUAUUAAUUUACUAUCACAAGUUAUUUAAUCUCAACUAAUUUAUAACUAUUAUAUAUUUAUAAUAAUU